This is a long non-coding RNA of Saccostrea cuccullata (small rock oyster), 290 nucleotides long. RefSeq lists it as uncharacterized. The transcript is spliced from 3 exons. NCBI's taxonomy places the organism in Eukaryota, Metazoa, Mollusca, Bivalvia, Ostreida, Ostreidae. The record is from RefSeq and is a predicted model, not a curated record.
AGUAACUGAUAACAAGAACUGAUCACCAAACAAGGAGAAAAUGAUAUGGAAAUGGCUUAUUUUUCUCCAGUUUAUAGAGAUGACACAUCAGUUGUCAUCUAGUUGCGUUCACGACUCUGAUUGUGGAAGAGUAAUCUGUUCUUCGGGCGACUCUCCGAUCUGUCUUCAUUCCAAAUGCGUUUGCAAACGUACAUCUAAAUACUGUACAAGAGAUGUUGAGUGUGAUUAUGGAGGAUGUGGAAGACCAUUUCAUCAUUAUUGUCAUGUAUCUCAAAAUACAUGUGAAUGUA